AGUGAACGCUGGCGGUAGGCCUAACACAUGCAAGUCGAACGGCAGCACAGUAAGAGCUUGCUCUUGCGGGUGGCGAGUGGCGGACGGGUGAGGAAUACAUCGGAAUCUACUUUUUCGUGGGGGAUAACGUAGGGAAACUUACGCUAAUACCGCAUACGACCUACGGGUGAAAGCAGGGGAUCUUCGGACCUUGCGCGAUUGAAUGAGCCGAUGUCGGAUUAGCUAGUUGGCGGGGUAAAGGCCCACCAAGGCGACGAUCCGUAGCUGGUCUGAGAGGAUGAUCAGCCACACUGGAACUGGGACACGGUCCAGACUCCUACGGGAGGCAGCAGUGGGGAAUAUUGGACAAUGGGCGCAAGCCUGAUCCAGCCAUACCGCGUGGGUGAAGAAGGCCUUCGGGUUGUAAAGCCCUUUUGUUGGGAAAGAAAAGCAGCAGGUUAAUACCCCGCUGUUCUGACGGUACCCAAAGAAUAAGCACCGGCUAACUUCGUG
RNAcentral lists this ribosomal RNA (492 nucleotides) under uncultured bacterium. Its description in RNAcentral is "partial 16S ribosomal RNA". It matches the Rfam family "Bacterial small subunit ribosomal RNA", at positions 29 to 507 of the family's 1533-position model. The record is from RNAcentral.